Molecule: non-coding RNA, 499 nt
Organism: Oryctolagus cuniculus (rabbit)
Lineage: Eukaryota; Metazoa; Chordata; Mammalia; Lagomorpha; Leporidae
Source: RefSeq, a predicted model, not a curated record
AGCACGUACCACGUGCGCGCUGUCUGGGCCUGCGUAAAGUCGACGCUCCCGGCGUCCGCAGCCAGCCCUCAUCUACGCGCACUCCCCUGGAUUGCCCAGCUGGGUGUCAAUAAAAUUGCGCGCGCGCGCGCGCGCGAGAACCCACGCACGCGCGGAGGCUCCCCAGGGCGUCUCCACAGCCGCCGCACCUGCCCAGGGUGCGGUACGUCAGCCGGAGUUGCGGGGGAGCGCCCACGGGGUUAGGGAGCGGCGCUUGCAAACGGCUGGCGGCGGCGGCAGCUCAGACAUUCAUGACAGGCUGGAGAGAAGCAGCUGGCAUCUGAGCAGUGGGGUGCAGAGGCGUGGGAAGAGGAGCUGCUCUGGGACUGAGCAUAUUUUGCAAGCCUGUAUUAAAUGUUGAAACUCCGCACCCUUGGAUACAAUCACAUGUGAAGGACUCCAUGAAAAGAGGUGAGGAAGGUUAGACCCAAGCUCAUCUUGCAGGAUAGUGGCAGAUCUG